AAAGAGGGUGGCGUAAAACUUCUCGAGAUAUCUGAACCUCUUGGUUACGCGGCUGCUAAAAAACGGAAGAAGAUGCAAGAAAUGGAAGACGCAAAAAAGGCAACGGAGAAUGCCGGUCAACAGUCAACCUGCUGCUGGUGCUACUACUCCGACGCGGCUGGUUUAUCUAUGUUCUUGUUUUUUCUAAUAAACAUUAUAUAUACUGGUAUA
Long non-coding RNA from Aethina tumida (small hive beetle), 210 nucleotides. RefSeq lists it as uncharacterized. The transcript has 2 exons. NCBI's taxonomy places the organism in Eukaryota, Metazoa, Arthropoda, Insecta, Coleoptera, Nitidulidae. The record is from RefSeq and is a predicted model, not a curated record.